Molecule: ribosomal RNA, 459 nt
Filed under: uncultured bacterium
Lineage: Bacteria
Description: partial 16S ribosomal RNA
Rfam family: Bacterial small subunit ribosomal RNA
Source: RNAcentral
CCUACGGGAGGCAGCAGUGAGGAAUAUUGGUCAAUGGGCGCGAGCCUGAACCAGCCAAGUCGCGUGAGGGAAGACGGUCCUAUGGAUUGUAAACCUCUUUUGUCGGGGAGCAAAAGACGCCACGCGUGGCGUUCCGAGAGUACCCGAAGAAAAAGCAUCGGCUAACUACGUGCCAGCAGCCGCGGUAAUACGGAGGAUGCGAGCGUUAUCCGGAUUUAUUGGGUUUAAAGGGUGCGUAGGCGGAAGAUCAAGUCAGCGGUAAAAUUGAGAGGCUCAACCUCUUCGAGCCGUUGAAACUGGUUUUCUUGAGUGAGUGAGAGGUAUGCGGAAUUCGUGGUGUAGCGGUGAAAUGCAUAGAUAUAACGCAGAACUCCGAUGGCGAAGGCAGCAUACCGGCGCUCAACUGACGCUGAUGCACGAAAGUGUGGGUAGCGAACAGGAUUAGAUACCCGAGUAGUC